This is a small nucleolar RNA of Elaeis guineensis (African oil palm), 103 nucleotides long. RefSeq annotates it as small nucleolar RNA Z159/U59. NCBI's taxonomy places the organism in Eukaryota, Viridiplantae, Streptophyta, Magnoliopsida, Arecales, Arecaceae. The record is from RefSeq and is a predicted model, not a curated record.
GUCUUUAAUGAUGAUCAAAAUAAUAACUUUCAUUCUUUUGAAGGGUCUUGGUGAUAAUUGCCAUCUGUGUAGAAGAGCUUAUGGAGAUCUAAACUGAGGAGAC